Pogoniulus pusillus (Red-fronted tinkerbird) is the source of this 609-nucleotide long non-coding RNA. RefSeq lists it as uncharacterized. The transcript is spliced from 3 exons. NCBI's taxonomy places the organism in Eukaryota, Metazoa, Chordata, Aves, Piciformes, Lybiidae. The record is from RefSeq and is a predicted model, not a curated record.
UGUUUUGUUUUCUAAUUCCCAUAGCAAAAUGUUCUGAACCACAAUGAACUGUACAGUAAGAGCCAUUUACAUUCUAUAGGAACAAAGAUGUGUAAGUUGAAGUAAGUGAAGAAGAAAAUUGUUGCUUUUAGUCCUAAUUAUUCGUGUUAUUUGGCAUGUGUUUGUAGGAGGGUACAUGUGGAAAGAGUUCUGGUAGAACUUCUGGAAGAAGUUCAUGUCCCCUGCAGGACAUGAAGGAGUUCUUUCUCUUCAAGCCUUCUAAGGUAUAUGAAUAGAGGUAUGAAUUGCAUCUCCAGGACAGCUUCAGGCCAAGCCAGAGAGCACCAUGGAUGGAACUGCUUUUCAACAGGAUUUGGAUGUAUAAAGACAACAGCAGAAUUUGGAGCUACAUUUAUAAAGACAGGAAAAAAAAAUUAAAAAAAGAAAAAGGAAAAAAAGAUGUGCCAGGCAGUCGCUGAGGAAGAGGAGACUGCAAAGCUGUGCGCUGAGAGGAUGAAAUUAUUUCAACUUCCAGAUUCAUUAUGUUCAAUGGGUGGCAUAUUCACAGGUUUGUAGCUCUCUCAAGAUCAAUUAAUUUUCACUAUAAAACUUCACCACUUUUUCCCUCUU